AAUCAUAGAGUUCGUGCGAAAGCCUGAUCAAGCAAUGCCGCUUGUGUGAAGAAGGUUCUCGGAAUGUAAAGCACUUGAAGUCGGGAGGAAGUUCAGUCAGUUGAUACCUUACUGUUUUGUCGUUACCGACAGAAUAAUCACCGGCUCACUUCGUGCUAGCAGCCGCGGUAAUACGAAGGGUGCAAGCGUUAAUCGGAAUUACUAGGCGUAAAGCGCGCGUAGUUGGUUUGUUAAGUUGGAAGUGAAAGCCCCGGGCUCAACCUGGGAACUGCUUUCAAAACUGGCAAGCUAGAGUAUGGCAGAGAGUGGUGGAAUUUCCUGUGUAGCGGUGAAAUGCGUAGAUAUAGGAAGGAACACCAGUGGCGAAGGCGACCACCUGGGCUAAUACUGACACUGAGGUGCGAAAGCGUGGGGAGCAAAC
This 421-nucleotide ribosomal RNA is filed under the name uncultured bacterium. RNAcentral's name for it is "partial 16S ribosomal RNA". It matches the Rfam family "Bacterial small subunit ribosomal RNA", at positions 359 to 773 of the family's 1533-position model. The record is from RNAcentral.